This is a long non-coding RNA of Pelobates fuscus (common spadefoot toad), 294 nucleotides long. RefSeq lists it as uncharacterized. The record is from RefSeq and is a predicted model, not a curated record. The transcript has 4 exons. Lineage: Eukaryota; Metazoa; Chordata; Amphibia; Anura; Pelobatidae.
GUUAUUAGUACAUACAGCGAACACGGAAUCAAUGCGAGUGAAGUGAAAUGUAAUGUUUCUCAUCCUGCAUUUACUCAUCCUCAGAUAAUGUCCGUUCUAAUACCUGAAAAAACGGUUCAGUGGUGGAUUGUGUUUCCCAUCGUUAUCAGCAUUGUUUUAGGGCUAACUGUCUACUGGACAAGACACAUUUUCAGAUGUUGUUCAAAAUUGGAACAAGAGGUUAAAGAAGAGUUAGAACCUUAUGAAAGCUACGUUCAGAAAGUAAACACCAUCUACUGUUCUGUACCAGUGAGC